UAGGGAAUCUUCGGCAAUGGACGAAAGUCUGACCGAGCAACGCCGCGUGAGUGAAGAAGGUUUUCGGAUCGUAAAACUCUGUUGUUAGAGAAGAACAAGGACGUUAGUAACUGAACGUCCCCUGACGGUAUCUAACCAGAAAGCCACGGCUAACUACGUGCCAGCAGCCGCGGUAAUACGUAGGUGGCAAGCGUUGUCCGGAUUUAUUGGGCGUAAAGCGAGCGCAGGCGGUUUCUUAAGUCUGAUGUGAAAGCCCCCGGCUCAACCGGGGAGGGUUAUUGGAAACGGGGAGACUUGAGUGCAGAAGAGGAGAGUGGAAUUCCAUGUGUAGCGGUGAAAUGCGUAGAUAUAUGGAGGAACACCAGUGGCGAAGGCGGCUCUCUGGUCUGUAACUGACGCUGAGGCUCGAAAGCGUGGGGAGCAAACAGG
Molecule: ribosomal RNA, 429 nt
Filed under: Gemmatimonadota bacterium
Lineage: Bacteria; Pseudomonadati; Gemmatimonadota
Description: Gemmatimonadetes bacterium partial 16S ribosomal RNA
Rfam family: Bacterial small subunit ribosomal RNA
Source: RNAcentral